This 413-nucleotide ribosomal RNA is filed under the name uncultured bacterium. RNAcentral describes it as "bacterial SSU rRNA". It matches the Rfam family "Bacterial small subunit ribosomal RNA", at positions 28 to 432 of the family's 1533-position model. The record is from RNAcentral.
GAUGAACGCUAGCUACAGGCUUAACACAUGCAAGUCGAGGGGCAGCAUGAACUUAGCUUGCUAAGUUUGAUGGCGACCGGCGCACGGGUGAGUAACACGUAUCCAACCUGCCGAUGACUCGGGGAUAGCCUUUCGAAAGAAAGAUUAAUACCCGAUGGCAUAGUUCUUCCGCAUGGUAGAACUAUUAAAGAAUUUCGGUCAUCGAUGGGGAUGCGUUCCAUUAGGUUGUUGGCGGGGUAACGGCCCACCAAGCCUUCGAUGGAUAGGGGUUCUGAGAGGAAGGUCCCCCGCAUUGGAACUGAGACACGGUCCAAACUCCUACGGGAGGCAGCAGUGAGGAAUAUUGGUCAAUGGACGAGAGUCUGAACCAGCCAAGUAGCGUGAAGGAUGACUGCCCUAUGGGUUGUAAACUU